UUUGUCCUCUAAGCUUAUUGCAAUGCAUUCUGGGAUUGGGUUCUCUUUGAAAGAUAUGUGCAAUGUUGCACUUGAAUUGGCCAUUAGAUAAAAUAUAGAGACAUGAUGAUGGGCAGCCUGAGAUACUAUAUGCCUUAAAUGCCGUCUAUGUAGGCAGCUCACUAGAAUUUGGAACAGAGCUUUAAACUCACACACACUCUCAAAAUGGUCUUUUUUGUACUUCAGUUCCAGAACCUCCUGACGACCUCACUUUUAUUGAACAGGAAGUGAGCAGCAUGUAUGUGAUGUGGACACACCCACCGGGCAGCGUGGAUGGUUACAGGCUUCAAUAUGGCUUUGCGGGUGACCUCCCUCUGCAGCACCGGGUUGAUCUUCAUGGCAACAGUGUCAGGAUUCAUGACCUGACCCCAGGAAGUGAUUACAGGUUUGAGAUCCAGUCCUUCCUGGGGUCAGAUUUCAGCCACACCACAUCCCAAAACAUCUCUACUAGUAAGAAUCUACCAGUCAGUAUUUCUGAUUCUGUUCUUAGUGAUGCUUUCUACUUUUGGUAUCAUAAUCAAAUGCAGAUAAAACACAUAUUAACAAUAAAGGUCAUUCUUGAUGUUUUUCUCAACUAUUUCUUUUUUAUUCCAGGGCCAGCAGGUGUAUGUUCACUCUCUGUGUUUCACGUCAAUGGGACCGCCGCCACAGUGUCAUGGAAACCAGCCACUGGUCAUUUUGAUUUUUAUAGAGUGGCGGUCAGUAACAUCUCUCAUAUCUGGACAUUAGAUGUGAGUCCACACUCGCAGGUGGUCACCGUCAGCAGCCUGUGGAAUGGCUGCUCCUACAACAUCACUGUUCAACGCUUCAGAAACAACAUCAGUGGAACUGCUGCCACAAUCACCAUACGUACAGGUUUGACUGUUACCCACAAUACACUUUGCACAACUGAAGGUAUUAGUUCCUGUAAAACUGUUUUAAAACAGUUUGUAUUGUCAAUUAACGCCCAAAUUGAACCAAGCAUUGAACCAAACUGAAUCACUUUGAAUUGCACUCAACUGUAU
Cyprinus carpio (common carp) is the source of this 1043-nucleotide long non-coding RNA. The record is from Ensembl. Lineage: Eukaryota; Metazoa; Chordata; Actinopteri; Cypriniformes; Cyprinidae.